GUUUUAAUAGCUUACUUAAAGCAUAGCACUGAAAAUGCUAAGACGAGCCCAAGUUCUUUAAACA
Molecule: transfer RNA, 64 nt
Filed under: Pithecopus megacephalus (large-headed leaf frog)
Lineage: Eukaryota; Metazoa; Chordata; Amphibia; Anura; Hylidae
Description: tRNA-Phe
Rfam family: tRNA
About the family: Transfer RNA (tRNA) molecules are approximately 80 nucleotides in length. Their secondary structure includes four short double-helical elements and three loops (D, anti-codon, and T loops). Further hydrogen bonds mediate the characteristic L-shaped molecular structure. tRNAs have two regions of fundamental functional importance: the anti-codon, which is responsible for specific mRNA codon recognition, and the 3' end, to which the tRNAs corresponding amino acid is attached (by aminoacyl-tRNA synthetases). tRNAs cope with the degeneracy of the genetic code in two manners: having more than one tRNA (with a specific anti-codon) for a particular amino acid; and 'wobble' base-pairing, i.e. permitting non-standard base-pairing at the 3rd anti-codon position.
Source: RNAcentral